AACGUAUCUUACGCUCUCUGGUAUUCCGGGGAGCAUGCUUGUUUGAGUAUCUUAAGAGUGCCUUGCGGACAACUGCUUUUGGCGUCUAAUGGGGCCAGGGUGUUUGUUCGGAGCUGGGCUCUCCAGUCUUCACUAUGCAUUGUGGACUGGUGGUCUAAAAUGCAACGCUUGAGCGGUCCCUCUCUGACGCUUGGCUGAACGCGUAUCUUUUAGUUUGCCCAUUGGGCAAUUGAAAUUUCACGCAAACAGGUCAUUGCGAAGGCGUGGGUGUUAGCAGCUCAAUAAUGUAUAAUUGCUUUGUGUCUAGAUCUCAAACAAGUAGGACUACGCGCUGAACUUAA
RNAcentral lists this unclassified non-coding RNA (341 nucleotides) under uncultured fungus. Its description in RNAcentral is "partial contains 5.8S ribosomal RNA, internal transcribed spacer 2, and large subunit ribosomal RNA". The record is from RNAcentral. Lineage: Eukaryota; Fungi.